Pan troglodytes (chimpanzee) is the source of this 2176-nucleotide long non-coding RNA. RefSeq lists it as uncharacterized. The transcript is spliced from 4 exons. NCBI's taxonomy places the organism in Eukaryota, Metazoa, Chordata, Mammalia, Primates, Hominidae. The record is from RefSeq and is a predicted model, not a curated record.
AGCUCUUGUCAGCGACCCAUUUUGUGAAUGGAGACGUUUCUGCUUUGAAGUCAUAAUUUAUCCUGCAAGAGCUGCUAAAAGAAGCACUUUUAAACUCAGAUCUGAGCGAAGGCUGGGAAUUGGUUGUUGCAAGUAGAAAAUGAGUUACAGAUGUACAAAGACAUUAGAAGGCUGCCUGCAACAUAGAAGCAAAAUGCUCCAGGAGGCUGACCUGAAUGACAUACAUCAGUGAACUCCUUUGGCCUCUGUCAGACCCACCAAAUCAGAAAAUCUUACACUCCUACAAGAAAUUCAUGGAACAUAGACCAAUACUGAGCCACUGAUUCAGCACAUCCUCUGUGGAGACCAACCAGCCACUUGGUGGCAAGAGAUUACAUUGGAACCCUCUCGUCUCAGAAGGAGCAGUGUUUCGUGUUGACUGAAUCAACAUGUGCACCAGAUACAAGACUCCCUUUUCUGCCUGGAAUAAUCUGCCAGUAUGACUCUCAAAAGGCUUAACUCACGGACAUAGGAUCCCAUGUAGCACUGCAUUGGAUUGAGAGAUAGAGAACUCAGUUAAAAACAAGGAGGUGUGGCAGUGGGCCCUUGACUCUGGUAUCCCCUGGCCUUAUCACAUCCUAUGUCACUCAGAAGUUGAGAUCUGAAAGAGUGAAAAAAAAAGCUGCUUACUAGCCACUGAGGACCCAGCUUGGAGAUGAUAAGCUGUGAAGAUGGGCGCUGUUCUCCAGACAUAAUAUAUAUGUCCUAAAUCAACAACCAUUCCCUAGAGCUGUGUCCCCAGUAGAUAGCAAGUACGAGUCUGGAAAUCAAAGAGUAGAAAUAGGCAUAGCCCGGCUUAUAUCACUUCAAGUGACCAAUGUAGGGAAUUUAUGCUUCUUACUACACUCCCAGGCUUUUGUGGUUUAGAAGUCCUAGUUUCUAAAGGGAGAACAUUUCCACCAGGAAACUCAGCAGGAGACCCAUUAAGCUUUAAGCUAUGCUUACUGAAUGUCGCUCAUGCCAAAGCCUAUCAGAAAAGGGAAAUAGCCUUCAUCCCAGCAGGAGUAAUGGGCCCUGAUGAUCAGGAGGAGAUGGGGCUGCUGUUACUCCCUGGGGUUCUCUUGGAACCCUCUUGCCAAAUUUCAACAAAAAAUGGACAAAUGCAGUGGUCAUGGCCUGAGAAAGGCUCAGAUCUUACUGUUGAAGGUGGAGGUGUCCCCAACAGGUAAGCCUCUUAGACCAUCAGAGGUGUUAGCCAAGGGUGAGGAGAAUCUAGAAUGAGUAGGGGAGGAGAGAAAUGAUGUGUGUAGUUACCUUGAAACUGCAGCAUGGGAGUUGGGGGGGUUCUGGGGCUAUAAUUCCUGUCACUGGCCUUCCUCUUGUUAAGUUUACCUAGGAAAACAGGCCAGCGAGAAUCUUGGAGGGGCUGUUCCCAAGUUUUGCUAUAAAAUGAAAGUGAAUCCAAGUGGCCUGGGGCUGAAUCUGAGUUCAUGCUGUGGGCACUGCCCAGAUGCCUUGUCAGAGCUAAGAUCAUUCUCCCAGCUACUGAGAGUGUGGGUAACCUGUGAUGCUUAGCUGAGUCCCUCUCCAGGAAUUGCCUUUAGCAAAAAAUGAGCCACCUCUCUUCACCCAGACCACACUCCCCUCCCCAGGGAAUGUACAGCCCAAUUCAGUGUGUGGUCAGUGCAGAAGCAGAAAGUCUCAAUUUGCCUGCAUCUAGUGAGACAUCUAGGAGGGUUCAUCCUACUCCCUGAACUCCCCAUGGGGUUGACUGAGGCCUUCGUCACAACUUCAUUGCAGUUCAUACCUCCCUUUGCCCCAUCCCACUUCUUUCAUUCUGCAUGGGCAUCGAUCUUGAUCGAGGCCACUCCCCAGAACACUCCCUGCCUGCAUGUCUCUCUCAGGAGUCUGCUGCCUGGGGAUUGGAUUUAAGACACAUGCUGGUCUUCACCUAGGAGUAAUUUCCCUGUCCACACUGUUGAUCAAAUUUCCUUGAAUUAUCUUAAUUUGAGUGUGCCCUCUGAAUUUUGAUGGGAUCUGGACUGACGGGGCAGGGUAUUGGGCUAGGGACAUGACUGGCAGGUAAGUCUGCCUAAUUCUGAGGCUCAGUAUUAGUAGGACUCUUUACUGACACAUGGAAUUUGUAUUCUCAAAUGUACCAAAAUCAGCUUACUAAAGAUAUUUUGGUCUCUACCUU